This is a long non-coding RNA of Physcomitrium patens, 616 nucleotides long. RefSeq lists it as uncharacterized. Lineage: Eukaryota; Viridiplantae; Streptophyta; Bryopsida; Funariales; Funariaceae. The record is from RefSeq and is a predicted model, not a curated record.
UGAUCACGCCUUUCACGUAACCAUUCCAUCCAUCACUCACAGUACCAUCGUCAAACUUAUUCCAAACUUAUUAUUCUAUAUUCCUUUAUUUGCGUCGAAGGCGGUCCCGGAAACUGAGUACCGAGGUUGCCGAGGAGGAAGAGGAGGUGACGGUGCGCUGUUGAAGCUUCACCGGCGACGUGGAAAGUGAACAUUUUUUUUUUGUUUCAUCUAGCGUGAUCUGAUUACCCCUUUCAAUUCCGUCCUCAAGGAUUUUGUGCUGGCCACAGGAGCUCAUGCAAGUCAGGAGAAUAUGUGCAGCAGGCUAAAACAGGAGAUUUACUUGCUUUCCUCCGGGAAAUAGGAACAAUCGAUGGAAGAAGAUUCCGUGACCCCUAGUCGUUCUCGUCGAUUCGGGGUUAUCGGAGUUAAAGUUGCUGGUGCUUGAAGUUUUUAGUAUUGUGAGACAUUUUUAUCUCUCAUGCUCGUUCUGACUUUUCGAGCAUUGACGUAGAACUGGAGCUUGAAAGUUUAGGUUACAACCCUUUUGCCCGAGCAGGGCGACAUGGAAAUGUAAGCUAAAAUUUGUUUCAUAAUACCAGAUUGCCUUCUCGUAAGCGCACGAGCAAAUUACACU